UACGGAGGAUCCGAGCGUUAUCCGGAUUUAUUGGGUUUAAAGGGUGCGCAGGCGGGAGAUUAAGUCGGCGGUGAAAUUUUGCAGCUCAACUGUAAAAGUGCCUUCGAAACUGGUUUCCUUGAGUGUGGAUGAAGUAGGCGGAAUUUGCGGUGUAGCGGUGAAAUGCAUAGAUAUCACGAGGAACUCCGAUUGCGCAGGCAGCUUACUAAACUACUACUGACGCUCAGGCACGAAGGCGUGGGGAUCAAACAGGAUUAGAUACCCGGGUAGUCCCU
This 275-nucleotide ribosomal RNA is filed under the name uncultured prokaryote. Its description in RNAcentral is "partial 16S ribosomal RNA". It matches the Rfam family "Bacterial small subunit ribosomal RNA", at positions 524 to 798 of the family's 1533-position model. The record is from RNAcentral.